This 118-nucleotide ribosomal RNA is filed under the name Punica granatum (pomegranate). Lineage: Eukaryota; Viridiplantae; Streptophyta; Magnoliopsida; Myrtales; Lythraceae. The record is from RNAcentral.
UCUGGUAUCCUAGGCGUAGAGGAACCACACUGAUCCAUCCCGAACUUGGUGGUUAAACUCUACUACGGUGAUGAUACUAUAGGAGUGGUCCUAAUGAAAAAAAAGCUCGAUGCCAGGG